This 866-nucleotide ribosomal RNA is filed under the name uncultured Syndiniales. RNAcentral's name for it is "SSU rRNA". It matches the Rfam family "Eukaryotic small subunit ribosomal RNA", at positions 815 to 1699 of the family's 1831-position model. The record is from RNAcentral. Lineage: Eukaryota; Dinophyceae; Syndiniales.
UAAUAAUAUAGGACCUUCGUUCUAUUUUGUUGGUUUCUAGAACUUGGGUAAUGAUUAAUAGGGACAAUUGGGGGCAUUCGUACUAACGCGUCAGAGGUGGAAUUCUUGGAUUGCGUUAUGACGAACUACUGCGAAAGCAUUUGCCAAAGAUGUUUUCAUUGAUCAAGAACGAAAGUAUGGGGAUCGAAGACGCUUAGAUACCGUCGUAGUCUAUACCAUAAACUAUGCCAACUAGAGAUUGGAGGGGUUCUCUUAUUUGGCCUCUUCAGCAUCUUAUGAGAAAUCAAAGUUUUUGGGUUCCGGGGGGAGUAUGGUCGCAAGGCUGAAACUUAAAGGAAUUGACGGAAGGGCACCACCAGGAGUGGAGCCUGCGGCUUAAUUUGACUCAACACGGGAAAACUCACCAGGUCCAGACAUAAUAAGGAUUGACAGAUUGAUAGCUCUUUCUUGAUUUUAUGGGUGGUGGUGCAUGGCCGUUCUUAGUUCGUGGAGUGAUUUGUCUGCUUAAUUGCGUUAACGAACGAGACCUUAACCUGCUAAAUAGAAGCUCCUAUCUUCGGAUAAGUGCAUUUCUUCUUAGAGGGACUUUACGCGUUGCAGCGUGAGGAAGUUUGAGGCUAAAACAGGUCUGUGAUGCCCUUCGAUGUUCUGGGCUGCACGCGCGCUACACUGAUGCGUCCAACGAGUGUACAACCUUGCCCGAUAGGGUUGGGUAACCUUUUGAACACGCAUCGUGAUGGGGAUAGAUUAUUGCAAUUAUUAAUCUUCAACGAGGAAUUCCUAGUAAUGAUGGUUCAUCAGACCAUCGUGAUUACGUCCCUGCCCUUUGUACACACCGCCCGUCGCUCCUACCGAUUGAGUAAUCC